RNAcentral lists this transfer RNA (74 nucleotides) under Cuspidaria undata. RNAcentral describes it as "tRNA-Gln". The record is from RNAcentral. Lineage: Eukaryota; Metazoa; Mollusca; Bivalvia; Cuspidariidae.
AAAAAGGUAGUGUUAAAUGCUAUGCACGGAAAAUUUUGGAUUUUUUAGUGGGAUUUUAUUGUUCUCCCUUUUUG